GCGAGGGUGGCGGAAUAGGCAGACGCGCUAGUUUGAGGGGCUAGUGGCCGAAAGGUCGUGGGGGUUCAAGUCCCCCUCCUCGCACCA
Molecule: transfer RNA, 87 nt
Filed under: Deltaproteobacteria bacterium
Lineage: Bacteria; Pseudomonadati; Myxococcota; Myxococcia
Also listed under: 1 other name
Description: tRNA-Leu
Rfam family: tRNA
About the family: Transfer RNA (tRNA) molecules are approximately 80 nucleotides in length.
Source: RNAcentral